CAGUAGCCGCGGUAAUGCGAAGGGUGCAAGCGUUAAUCGGAAUUACUGGGCGUAAAGCGUGCGUAGGCGGUGAGUUAUGUCUGCUGUGAAAUCCCCGGGCUCAACCUGGGAAUGGCAGUGGAUACUGGCUCGCUAGAGUGUGUCAGAGGAUGGUGGAAUUCCCGGUGUAGCGGUGAAAUGCGUAGAGAUCGGGAGGAACAUCAGUGGCGAAGGCGGCCAUCUGGGACAACACUGACGCUGAGGCACGAAAGCGUGGGGAGCAAACAGGAUUAGAUACCCGUGUAGUCCCUGUCUCUUAUAC
RNAcentral lists this ribosomal RNA (301 nucleotides) under uncultured bacterium. Its description in RNAcentral is "partial 16S ribosomal RNA". It matches the Rfam family "Bacterial small subunit ribosomal RNA", at positions 509 to 807 of the family's 1533-position model. The record is from RNAcentral.